AGCCGCCGCGGUAAUACCCGCAGCCCUAGUGGUGGUCUUUGUUAUUGAGCCUAAAGCGUCCGUAGCCGGACUGUUAAAUCCUUGGGUAAAUCGGGGGGCUUAACCCACCGGAUUCCGGGGACACUGACAGUCUAGGGACCGGGAGAGGUAGAAGGUACUUGCGGGGUAGGGGUAAAAUCCUGUAAUCCUGUAAGGACCACCGGUGGCGAAGGCGUUCUACCAGAACGGAUCCGACGGUAAGGGACGAAGCCCUGGGGCGCGAACCGGAUUAGAUACCCGGGUAGUCCAGGGUGUAAACGCUGCAGACUUGGUGUCGGGUGUCCCAUGAGGGCAUCCGGUGCCGGAGCGAAGGUGUUAAGUCUGCCGCUUGGGGAGUACGGUCGCAAGACUGAAACUUAAAGGAAUUGGCGGGAGAGCACAGCAACGGGAGGAGCGUGCGGUUUAAUUGGAUUCAACGCCGGAAAACUCACCGGGAGCGACGGUUACAUGAAGGUCAAGCCGAUGACUUUACCUGAUUUUCCGAGAGGUGGUGCAUGGCCGUCGUCAGUUCGUACCGUAAGGCGUUCUGUUAAGUCAGAUAACGAACGAGACCCGCACCCUUAUUCGCCAGCCUAUUCUUCGGAAUGGGCGCACUAUAGGGGAACCGCCAGUGCUAAACUGGAGGAAGGUGCGGUCAACGGUAGGUCAGUAUGCCCCGAAUCCCCCGGGCUACACGCGCGCUACAAAGGACAGGACAAUGGGCUCCGACACCGAGAGGUGAAGGCAAUCCCGAAACCUGUUCGUAGUCUGGAUUGAGGGCUGUAACUCGCCCUCAUGAAAAUGGAUUCCGUAGUAAUCGCGGGUCAACAUCCCGCGGUGAAUAUGCCCCUGCUCUU
This 875-nucleotide ribosomal RNA is filed under the name uncultured euryarchaeote. RNAcentral's name for it is "bacterial SSU rRNA". It matches the Rfam family "Archaeal small subunit ribosomal RNA", at positions 460 to 1337 of the family's 1478-position model. The record is from RNAcentral. Lineage: Archaea; Methanobacteriati; Methanobacteriota.